UACGGAGGGUGCAAGCGUUGUUCGGAAUUAUUGGGCGUAAAGAGAACGUAGGCGGAUCUGUGUGUCGAUUGUGAAAGCCCAGGGCUCAACCUUGGAAUUGCAGUCGAAACUGCGGAUCUUGAAUACUUGAGAGGGUGGGGGAAUUCCUGGUGGAGAAGUGAAAUUCGUAGAGAUCAGGAGGAACAUCAGAGGCGAAGGCGCCUGCCUGGCAAUGUAUUGACGCUGAGGUUCGAAAGCGUGGGGAGCAAACAGG
Molecule: ribosomal RNA, 253 nt
Filed under: uncultured bacterium
Lineage: Bacteria
Description: partial 16S ribosomal RNA
Rfam family: Bacterial small subunit ribosomal RNA
Source: RNAcentral